CCUACGGGCGGCAGCAGUGGGGAAUAUUGGGCAAUGGGCGCAAGCCUGACCCAGCAACGCCGCGUGAAGGAAGAAGGCUUUCGGGUUGUAAACUUCUUUUGUCAGGGAAGAGUAGAAGACGGUACCUGCCGAAUAAGCCACGGCUAACUACGUGCCAGCAGCCGCGGUAAUACGGAGGUGGCAAGCGUUGUACGGAUUUACUGGGUUUAAAGGGCGUGUAGCCGGGUUGACAAGUCAGAUGUGAAAGCCUGUGGCUUAACCGUAGAACUGCAUUUGAAACUGGUGAUCUUGAGUACUGGAGAGGCAGACGGAAUUCGUGGUGUAGCGGUGAAAUGCGUAGAUAGUAGGAGGAACUCCAGUGGCGAAGGCAGUCUGCUGGACAGCAACUGACGGUGAGGCGCGAAAGCGUGGGGAGCAAACAGGAUUAGAUACCCCGGUAGUC
This 442-nucleotide ribosomal RNA is filed under the name uncultured bacterium. RNAcentral's name for it is "partial 16S ribosomal RNA". It matches the Rfam family "Bacterial small subunit ribosomal RNA", at positions 338 to 795 of the family's 1533-position model. The record is from RNAcentral.